RNAcentral lists this ribosomal RNA (254 nucleotides) under uncultured bacterium. Its description in RNAcentral is "partial 16S ribosomal RNA". It matches the Rfam family "Bacterial small subunit ribosomal RNA", at positions 524 to 776 of the family's 1533-position model. The record is from RNAcentral.
UACGGGGGGAGCAAGCGUUGUUCGGAUUUACUGGGCGUAAAGGGCGCGUAGGCGGCCACUGCAAGUCGGUUGUGAAAUCUCCGGGCUUAACCCGGAAAGGUCAACCGAUACUGCAGGGCUAGAGUGCAGAAGGGGCAACUGGAAUUCUCGGUGUAGCGGUGAAAUGCGUAGAUAUCGAGAGGAACACCUGCGGCGAAGGCGGCCACCUGGACCAGCACUGACACUGAGGCACGAAAGCGUGGGGAGCAAACAGG